RNAcentral lists this transfer RNA (72 nucleotides) under Camelus ferus (Wild Bactrian camel). It matches the Rfam family "tRNA". Rfam says of the family: Transfer RNA (tRNA) molecules are approximately 80 nucleotides in length. Lineage: Eukaryota; Metazoa; Chordata; Mammalia; Artiodactyla; Camelidae. The record is from Rfam by way of RNAcentral.
GAGGGUAUAGCUGAGUGGUAAACGGCAUGCCUCACAUGCAUGAGGUCCUGGGUUCAAUCCCCAGUGCCUCCA